CAACAGUGGCUUAACCAAUUAAAAAGUUUAUUUUUCGGGCCCAGUGUGCAAUGGCUGCGAACAGCAGUGUCCUCGGUAGUGUAUGCAGCCUGUUGCCUGUACAGGUUGCCCUAAGGGACCUUGGAGACAGCC
Small nucleolar RNA from Hippopotamus amphibius kiboko, 132 nucleotides. RefSeq annotates it as small nucleolar RNA SNORA70. The transcript has a single exon. NCBI's taxonomy places the organism in Eukaryota, Metazoa, Chordata, Mammalia, Artiodactyla, Hippopotamidae. The record is from RefSeq and is a predicted model, not a curated record.